GGGCAAAGUAACUGAAAUUACAAUUGUGCCCCUAAGUCAACCAAUAAAAGAUCAAAGUCAACUCCUCCUUCUUCCCUUCUAUGUCGUGUAAGCAGCUCAAUGAGAGCAUGAAAAUACUUCACAAGUGUCACUUAGAAAACAAUAUUACUCAUCAUUCCAUGCUUACUAAGCAAAUUCAAGAGUACCCAGUUUUUCUUUUUACAAUUUCCUACUCCAUUUUCUUAAUUCCCAUGGUAUUAAAGGAAUUCUAAAACCACUAAAAUGAAUUCAUUGCUUACGUUUUUAUGCUAUUCCAAUACCCUAUAAAUACCCAUUGAAGCUGAUCAUACUCCUCACUCCAUCAAGCGUCAUUUGAGUCAUUUCCCAGCAAAUUAAACCAAGUAAAAGUAUCCCCUUUAAACCCCACAUUCCUCUUUGUUUCUACGCACCACCACCGCAACCACCGUAACACCGCCUCCUCUGCAACCUACUUCCACCACAUGAAUGACUUGCUCCCACUCUCGAUCACCAUGUACGACCACUAACCUCCGAUAUCAAGCUUUAAUUAUAGCAUUCCGUUGUUGAACCCGAAACCCGAACUCGCUCCUCCCAUCUCUUCUGGAGUACGAACCACCGCACCACCACCAAACGCUGCUACACGGACCAUCGCCGUUCUGCCUCCCUUACUUCUGACCACAUGACCUCCACCUUAGAACUACCUUUGUACCGCCUCUCGCAAGUCCUAAUUCCUAAACUACCUCCCUCAUUUUUCUGUUCGUGGUGGUUAGAAAAGACCAACGUUGGUCUCUGGAUUCUCCAACUUGCCAAAUUUGGAAACAUGUGCACCUAAAUCCUAAAAAGUCAACUCUUGUGGGCCUUACUAACUAAUAAGACAUAAUGUUAUAAAUGGUAUUCGGAGCUCGGAAGAACGGUCCAUCAAACGGGAAGUAUAAAACUACGGUUGAGGCACAAAGAAGAUCAUGGGAUGCCUUAGAGUGAGGAUGCAACCAUCAAAUUCACGAUCGUUGUUUAGUAAAGAUAACUAUGUCUCACUAGUAAUAAUGGAUGUAUUAAUUAAACUCUAAUUUAAUUGCAAGAAAUGAGUUAGACUUUUAUAUUAAUAUUUAAUCAAUGUUAGGAGUAUGUAUUAUUAAAGUUUAUUUAGUAAUUUAAGAAGUGUUUUGUCGCCUUGUAUUCCCGCGAGGGAGAUAUGGCAUGUGACGCUCCGACUAAAUUAGGGUUUCCGCGGCUAAUUAAACAUAAUUAACCUAAUUAAUGGUGUUUAGAAGUAGGGGCGUUACACUAUGUUACAGAAGAUGUUCUAUUUAUUUGAUUUAAGGUGCAGAAAAUAAGAUGUUCAUGGAUCAUAUGUCCCUCCUCCAUAGGAUUCUCAAAACAAAAUAAAUGAACCAACAAAACAUCUUGUUGAACAUGAACAAAUAACAAUCAUUAGUCAUACUUGUUUUGCGGCAAUAGAAAAAUCUCUAAACUUUAAUUUUCCUAGCAAUCAUUACAAUAUUCUUUAAACAUUGUGAAAAGGGAAUUUUGUCAACUAAGAUCAAGAAUCAAAUGUUUAAAGAAUUUACCUCCUUGUAUUGUAGUAUUAACUUAUGAUGAAUCACUUUGUCUAUCAUACAUAUUUUCUAAAUAUUCAGCCAAGCAAAAGGUACCAAGAUGUUGUAAGGUUCACCUCGUUUAUGGAGAAGGAAACAUUCAAAUCUUCCUAAGGCAACUUUGUCAAAAGUAUCUUCUUCGGCCUGCAAAUUCAAUAACCCACAAGUGAUUAGACCAACAUAUAUAUAUGUAAACCAUGUUAUUCUUGACAAUUAGAAAUCAUUUGUCCAUCUUUUUCUUAAAAGCAGCCAAAAAAGCAGC
Molecule: long non-coding RNA, 1854 nt
Organism: Spinacia oleracea (spinach)
Lineage: Eukaryota; Viridiplantae; Streptophyta; Magnoliopsida; Caryophyllales; Amaranthaceae
Exons: 3
Source: RefSeq, a predicted model, not a curated record